Xiphophorus couchianus (Monterrey platyfish) is the source of this 410-nucleotide long non-coding RNA. RefSeq lists it as uncharacterized. NCBI's taxonomy places the organism in Eukaryota, Metazoa, Chordata, Actinopteri, Cyprinodontiformes, Poeciliidae. The record is from RefSeq and is a predicted model, not a curated record. The transcript has 4 exons.
AAGUUUUAAAAGGGAUUUUCAAACUUUGUGUCAAUAAUUAUGACCUUAUCUCCUGGCAGUGACUUUCAGCAGUCAAAGAGACUAAUAACUAAAAAAUUAAUAUUGUUUGUAAUAAAUUACAUGAGCAAUACUCAUAAAAUCAACAGUCCACAUUCAAAGGAAAUCUACUAUUAGAUGGUUAAAUGUUAGGUUCUUUGUCAUGUAAUAUAUCCCAAAGGCUUAGAGACAAAUUGAUAUUUUAGCAAUUUGAACAACUGAUAUCUAAUGUAAACUGUCGACAUAGAGAAUUAUUUCAGAAACGUGUGUAUUAUUCUUAAUCCUUUUCUCUUAAGGUGGAGGGAUUUUAUGUAAAAUUGACUUUUUUAAAACUUUACACCAUGUUAUAAUGUUACUCCUAUAUCAAAAAUAUA